Molecule: unclassified non-coding RNA, 149 nt
Filed under: soil metagenome
Description: partial internal transcribed spacer 1
Source: RNAcentral
CCGAGUUUACAACUCCCAAACCCCUGUGAACAUACCUACUUGUUGCCUCGGCGGAUCAGCCCGCGCCCUGUAAAACGGGACGGCCCGCCAGAGGACCCCUAAACUCUGUUUCUAUAGUGGAACUUCUGAGUAAAACCAUAAAUAAAUCA